UAUUGCAAAAUAGUUAGAAGUUUUUACGUCUUUUAGGAGGCGUAAAAUAAAGGGAAAUUGGUGAAAGUCCAAUACAGCCCCCGCUACUGUAAUAGUGUUGCUACAACAAUAACCACUGAAUAAUUAUUCGGGAAGGUGUUGUGGCGUAUAGCUUAAGUCAGGAAACCUGCUUCUAUCUUUUGUUUCUA
This 188-nucleotide non-coding RNA is filed under the name Lysinibacillus sphaericus. Lineage: Bacteria; Bacillati; Bacillota; Bacilli; Caryophanales; Bacillaceae. RNAcentral also lists the same sequence under 1 other name. The record is from RNAcentral.